Mya arenaria is the source of this 3115-nucleotide long non-coding RNA. RefSeq lists it as uncharacterized. The record is from RefSeq and is a predicted model, not a curated record. The transcript is spliced from 7 exons. Lineage: Eukaryota; Metazoa; Mollusca; Bivalvia; Myida; Myidae.
CGUCACACAUGUAAGAAAUAUAUCGACAAUAGCAGCUUGAGCUGUAGUUAUAUAAAAUGUGAACAAUUUUAGUAGAUAUUUAAACACGUAUAAAUAAUUCAAUAAAAACGUUUAAAAACUGUCGGAAACUGCUUCUCAACCAGUAACGGAAAUUUUCGGGUAUCUCCGUGGUACCAUCUCCGUGCAAUUAUGCAGUAUGGCGUUCAUCUCUUACGGAAAGAGAAUGGUAACUUGGUAAGUGUUUAAAAUACAUAUUCAACGUUUUUUUUCGUUUAUUUUUAUGACUUUUGUACAGUAGUAUAAAUCGUCCACCCUUUGGAUGAAAAGCAAAUGAUUUAUCCGGAGUUUGUUCAUCCGAAACUAAAUCACUAGUAUCAACAUCCGGUGUAAUUUUUGCUUGUAUUUUGGAGAAACUCGAUUGAUUUCUAGCAAACUUGGUUUACCACUACAUCGUCGCUUAUUAUUAUUUGUUGCUGCUUGGGACAUUAAAGUUAAGUCAGCAACCGUCUACCAGACUGCAAGAUUCAUCUCUUCCAAAGGAUGUCGUACCUUUCCAGAUACACUGUGUUUUGUGUGGAUAAGAAAUGCAGAGUGGUACCACCAAUCACCUAAGCCACCAUUCCCCUAACAGACAAUAGGCUCAAGGGGACAGUUCCUGCAAUUUACAGAAAAGCUCUCAAUUGUAGCCCUACGAACUUAAGAUACUGCCGAUGGUGAAGCUUGGAUGCACCGGGCCGGUUUUCCAGCCGUGUGGAAUCUCCAGCUGAACUGGGGCUGGGAAUUAUAUAAGACUCCUUAGCAGCAUGAGUGCCAGCCAGUCAUUGCUGUUCUUGCAUUGCUGAGGAGGACAGUCCUGCCAACAUAACAGUUUGUUCAAUAACCGGAGACAAACAGAAACACAGAGGUGCUAUACAUUCUGAUGGAAAAACAAAAGCAUCUCCCAUCAUUUUGGCGUGGCUCAGAUCAAGAGGAGAAUUUUAAGAAAGGUGAUGGUUGGGCACACACAAGAAGACAUAGAUCACAGGUGUCUAGCCAUAUGAGUAGAUAGGAGUGUCACACUCUGCCAAACUUACUUCAGAUAGGAGUGUCACACUCUGCCAAACUUACUUCAUCAGACGAGCAGAAAGCUUCUCAAGAUCCCGCACUGCGCACUAAGACAUAGUCUUUGACUACAACAAGGUGAUGAAAGUACAGAGGUCCAAUUGAAAUCAAUUCUGUGCUGCUGUCAUUUCUUCAUUCUGGAAGUCGAUGGACAUGAUUUAUUAUGGCAUCAAGUGUGUAGUUUGCCGACUAUCAGCAGUCUUGUUCACCAGCUGUGCAACUUGAGCUGGUAGCUUUAUUGCUUGAAGCCACUGCAUAAGAGGGGGAAGGUGCAGGCUCAUCAAAAAGUCUCAAAAGUUGAAACUAGGAAAAGAAGUUUAUCAAGAGUGUGAAUCUAUUUUGAAAACAAUCGUUACAAUGAUUUGGUUUCCUUUGAAACUUCAUACAUACUAUGAAUUGAGAUGCUUAAAUAAAAAACCGCUAUUCAAAUAUCAGGAAACUGCCUUUUUCAUACUAAAGGGUAAAUGAUGUCGCCAUUUCCUGUAUGUAUUUAAAUAAGGGAAUUUUUCUCAACUGAAUGAGAUUAAAUUGUACAGCGUUAUAUGAGCUUAAUAUGUUUUCUCAUUCUUUAAAAUUGGUGAAAAAUUGUCAGAAGAUAAUUAGACCAGUAUCCAUUACUGCAAUCAUACAAUCAAAUAUACAGGGACAAGCCCACUGGGCAUAUAAUAUAAUUAAACCCUGUUUAGGGGCACGAGGCAAACAGAGUUACUUUCAAACGUUAAAGCUGCACUCUCACACUUUGGAUGUUUUGACAACUUUUUUCAUUUUAUGUCUUGGAUUGGAACCAUCCAAUUUUUGCGAAAAAUUAAAUCCCAGAUUUUUCUAUUUAAGUUAAAACAUUGAUAUUUUUUAUGCACUUUUCUUAAACCGUUAGUAACAUUAAUUUUCGAACGGAAAUAUGAAAUCUGCGAUCUGAUCUUUUGUCAGCAAUCUUUUAUCAUUGGUUUGCAGAUAAUUACGCAAAAACUUGCUCAUUCGAAGACAAAAAAAAUUGUGGAAACGGUAUAUCUGUGAGAGUGCAGCUCUAAAUGUUUAAUUUCUUGAUUUUACUACUGUAUUAGAAAUUACAGGGAUUGGGGUAUAUUUUUAGUGUUUUUAUUGCUUGUUUUUGAUUCAUACAGUCAUACUUUAUUCUUCAGGGCACAACUUACAAAUAAACAAAACUGGAAAAUGGUCAUAUCAAAAGGUCAAAGAUAAUGCAAGUUGAACAAUCAUAUUGUUCAUGGCUUGUAUUUUUGGUAUAUUUUGUUGCAUAUGCUAUAGAAAAGUUGAAAGUUAAAAAUAAAUUCAUAGUUGAAAUGAUGGCUUUGAAUGAUAUUGUCAGAUGAGAAACGGCACUAUUAAGAAUUAGGUAUAAUGGUACUUUAUUUAUUUUAAUCAAUUUUAGAUAUUAUGAAAAUUAUUAUCUUAUUUAGUACAUGAGACCUUUUAAACAGUUAUUGACAAUAUAACAAUGUGUAUAUGAAGCUUUAGAUCAAAACUGAAAGCUGCACUCUUACAGAUGGUCAGUUUAGACACAAAAUUGUCUCAAAAUCGGCUGAUUUGGUUAUCAUUCUUUUAAUUCAGUCAUAUUAGAUAAUUCACAAUAGAACCAAUCAAAAAUGUUUGGUAAAACUGCCGAAAAAGUAAUUUACAUUAAAUUGUUUGUAAUGCUUUUAGUCAUUGUUCGUAAUGCUUUUAGUCAUAAAACAUCAUUUUUUUAACAUAAAUAUGAUGAACUGCAAUCUGAUCUUUUUUCAGCAGUCUUAUAUCACUUAAAAUUGGUUCUAGACAUUUCUGCAAAAAAUACUCCAUUUAUUGACAAACAAUAAAAGAGUACCGGUAGUCAAAACGAUCAAUCGGUGAGAUUGCAGCUUUAAAUACACCUUUUAAGACCGCCGUAAAAUUCCAAUGGUUUGCCUAAAUCUUUAAAGCUAGCAUACUGUUUAAUUGACAACCAUACUUAUUGUUUAAAAUAUGUCAUGAUAUCUUUGUACAAUGUGUUUAUAUAAUUCAUUAAAGAAGUCAAAACAAA